RNAcentral lists this long non-coding RNA (1576 nucleotides) under Cottoperca gobio. RNAcentral describes it as "lncRNA (ENSCGOG00000022903.1)". Lineage: Eukaryota; Metazoa; Chordata; Actinopteri; Perciformes; Bovichtidae. The record is from RNAcentral.
UGUUGGUGGAGCAGCUCCGACAGGCUCCACCUGGGAAGCUGCGUGUCAGUUAGUGCGCAGCAGUGAUGCGGUUUCUCCUGCAGCAGCACCGACCUGCAGGAUGCGCACGCAGCAGAGACCCUGCAGCAGCAGCAGCAGCAGGAACACGACCGGGAAGACGAAGACCAACUUCAAGACGUUGCAAACACAGAAGACGAAAGUCAAACCCCAAACCAGAGGCAGCGCGCAGAGACGAGGCCGCACGGAGUUCCACCUGAGAGACACACGGAAGAUGUGUUACAUACCUGGAAGCAUUGUGUUCAAGCAGCGUGUGUGUUGUCUUUAAACCUGAGGUAGGACACGGGAUGCACCACGGCCAGGUAUCUCUCCACACACACACACGCCUGGAACAGAGGCUGCCCUGCGGACACACAGGAGGAGAUCGGAUGUCUUUCAGCCAACGUACCACGAAGUUGGCGGCCUCCACGGUAAAGAAGAUCCGGACCCCGUACGGAGACGAGGGGCACGGGUUCCACAGAUUCUCCUCAGAGGCGUUCAGAGAGGACGAGUUCAGAGAGGACGAGUUCAUCAUCUCCGGAGACUGAAAUGUUAUAUUUUCAGCAGGUUUUACAGCGUUUGAGCUUUAAUUGUCACACAGAAGCUUUAUUUACACUGACAUGUGUGUAGAUGCUCCAAUCCUGCACCUUUACAAAUCGUGUUAAAGCUUAUAGUUAGGGCCGGCUCAGGCUUGCCUGGGACCAGCCCCUCGUUAUGCUGCUCUAGGCUCAGACUGCCGGGGGACACCUCCCUCUCUCUAUCUGUUUGCUUCCAUGUCCCUUAAAUGAUCUUACUAACAAAGCUUAUUUCAACAUCCUCCUGGAUCCAUCUUUUUCAUAUUUCAUUGCAUCAUGUUGUAUUUUUACUUUGUUGUUUAUUCUGUACACACAACAUCUAUUGCACGUCUGUCCGUCCGGGGAGAGGGUCCUCCUGUUUCCUCUGUUUACUGUUUACCUUGUGUUUAUUUUUUUAAAUGAUUACAAACCAUUCGUCUGAAUCAAACCCACUUAAAGAGACAGAAAUUGAGCACGUGGCUCCAUCUAGUGACACAACCAGGAGCUCUACGGGAACAAGUUCAUUCAUUUUUAAUUUUUGUCUUUUCUGUCCUUUGCUUACAUUUCAAACUCUUCACAAAAACUUGCAUUCAGAUUUUUCUUCCAUUUUAAACUCUGGUGGUUUGUUUUGUGAUAUUUAAAAAGACGGUGAGAGUUUCAGUUUGAGAGCGAGGCUGUGGCUAUUUCCUGGGAGCAGAACAAAGCAGUGCAGAUCAGGACAUCAGGAGAAAAGAGUUCAUUGAAGUUCAUUUGACUUUAAUGGAACAUAAUCAUUAUUAAAUGCAGUGGUGGGCCGUCAGGGCCAGCAAGGCCUUCUCUGCUGGCCUAAACAUCAUCAGAAUAUACAUUUCAUUUUGAUGUAUUUUUUCCACAAAUAUGUAUUAAAUUAUUCCCCAGUAGUCUAUCCUCUUCAUUCUCUUCCAGCCUCAGAUGGAGAUUUGGAGGUCUGGCCUUUAUGUUAGAGCUUUUAUCCAAUCAUAUUUCAG